AUAUAUAUAUAUAUAUAUAUAUAUAUAUAUAUAACUGCUUGCUUCAUCAAGAACUUCAAGUUCAUGCAUGUAAUAACUCUUCCUUUCUUUUCCAAUUAAUAAACUUUUCAUGUUUUCUUUUUAAAAAUUAAUUAGUAGCCUAAACAUUGGAGAUAUGCUGAAUCCAAAUAAUGCCAUCUUUAGUAAAUAUAUGCCACAUUAGGGGG
Molecule: long non-coding RNA, 206 nt
Filed under: Panax ginseng (ginseng)
Lineage: Eukaryota; Viridiplantae; Streptophyta; Magnoliopsida; Apiales; Araliaceae
Description: long non-coding RNA (PGIN_LNC008489)
Source: RNAcentral